This 85-nucleotide transfer RNA is filed under the name Mesorhizobium sp. RNAcentral's name for it is "tRNA-Leu". It matches the Rfam family "tRNA". From Rfam's summary of the family: Transfer RNA (tRNA) molecules are approximately 80 nucleotides in length. Their secondary structure includes four short double-helical elements and three loops (D, anti-codon, and T loops). Further hydrogen bonds mediate the characteristic L-shaped molecular structure. tRNAs have two regions of fundamental functional importance: the anti-codon, which is responsible for specific mRNA codon recognition, and the 3' end, to which the tRNAs corresponding amino acid is attached (by aminoacyl-tRNA synthetases). tRNAs cope with the degeneracy of the genetic code in two manners: having more than one tRNA (with a specific anti-codon) for a particular amino acid; and 'wobble' base-pairing, i.e. permitting non-standard base-pairing at the 3rd anti-codon position. The record is from RNAcentral. Lineage: Bacteria; Pseudomonadati; Pseudomonadota; Alphaproteobacteria; Hyphomicrobiales; Phyllobacteriaceae.
GCGGACGUGGUGGAACUGGUAGACACAAGGGACUUAAAAUCCCUCGGAGCGAUCCGUACGGGUUCGAGUCCCGUCGUCCGCACCA